This 723-nucleotide ribosomal RNA is filed under the name uncultured Streptococcaceae bacterium. RNAcentral's name for it is "bacterial SSU rRNA". It matches the Rfam family "Bacterial small subunit ribosomal RNA", at positions 65 to 771 of the family's 1533-position model. Lineage: Bacteria; Bacillati; Bacillota; Bacilli; Lactobacillales; Streptococcaceae. The record is from RNAcentral.
AACGCUGAGAACUGGUGCUUGCACCGGUUCAAGGAGUUGCGAACGGGUGAGUAACGCGUAGGUAACCUACCUCAUAGCGGGGGAUAACUAUUGGAAACGAUAGCUAAUACCGCAUAAGAGAGACUAACGCAUGUUAGUAAUUUAAAAGGGGCAAUUGCUCCACUAUGAGAUGGACCUGCGUUGUAUUAGCUAGUUGGUGAGGUAAAGGCUCACCAAGGCGACGAUACAUAGCCGACCUGAGAGGGUGAUCGGCCACACUGGGACUGAGACACGGCCCAGACUCCUACGGGAGGCAGCAGUAGGGAAUCUUCGGCAAUGGGGGCAACCCUGACCGAGCAACGCCGCGUGAGUGAAGAAGGUUUUCGGAUCGUAAAGCUCUGUUGUUAGAGAAGAAUGAUGGUGGGAGUGGAAAAUCCACCAAGUGACGGUAACUAACCAGAAGGGGACGGCUAACUACGUGCCAGCAGCCGCGGUAAUACGUAGGUCCCGAGCGUUGUCCGGAUUUAUUGGGCGUAAAGCGAGCGCAAGCGGUUUUUUAAGUCUGAAGUUAAAGGCAUUGGCUCAACCAAUGUACGCUUUGGAAACUGGAGAACUUGAGUGCAGAAGGGGAGAGUGGAAUUCCAUGUGUAGCGGUGAAAUGCGUAGAUAUAUGGAGGAACACCGGUGGCGAAAGCGGCUCUCUGGUCUGUAACUGACGCUGAGGCUCGAAAGCGUGGGGAGCAA